Molecule: transfer RNA, 83 nt
Filed under: Bacteroidales bacterium
Lineage: Bacteria; Pseudomonadati; Bacteroidota; Bacteroidia; Bacteroidales
Also listed under: 2 other names
Description: tRNA-Tyr
Rfam family: tRNA
About the family: Transfer RNA (tRNA) molecules are approximately 80 nucleotides in length. Their secondary structure includes four short double-helical elements and three loops (D, anti-codon, and T loops).
Source: RNAcentral
GGGGGGAUACCAAAGCGGCCAACUGGGGCAGACUGUAAAUCUGUUGUCUUACGACUUCGGAGGUUCGAAUCCUCCUCCCCCCA